UUACAGUUGAUCAUUCGGUGCAUGCAGUAACAUAAAGCAAGCUCAGAAGAUGAAGGCCUACCAAAUGUAAGUGCUACUGCAAUCCUUCAUUGUUAUGUUCACUCUUAUCAGGACAUGAUCCCAGAUAUAUGUAUCUAUCAGGCACUGCCACAACAACCUGAGGUCACUGACUAAUUCAUCCAGCAUGUGGAUGACAGUUCCAGGAGUAUGCACAGGCCUUGUCAUAACAUCUCACAGGCAGCUUUGAAGGCUGUUCCUUUUCCUUAUUAUCUUUUAAACAGGCUCUGCCCUUGCAGUUUACAAGGCCUGUGAGUUCUAGCUGUCCAGAUAAGCUGGAUUUUUGUGAGGAAGCUACCAUUCUUCUAUGUACCAAGGCACUUUCCACACCACCCCCUGGAAAUUAAAAGAGUCAACCUUCUUUCCCUAUUGAAAAAUCUGGUAUAGAAUAUUGAUUCUUAACCAUUUAUAAGUAUGUUCCCAUGUGACUUACAGGGGAAUCUCCAAAUCCCUAUCAACAUGCAGAACAAUAUUUUGUGGCAAUGUGGUCUAUGUUCAUAUCAACAAUUGCUUAAGUUCAGUAAAAACUCAACAUGAUGGAACUCCUACAUCAAUUAAAAUAUUUAAAAGGGUAUAAGGCUCCUCUCUGAAGAGGACAAAAUAUGCUUACUCUGGCCUAAACCAUUUAUUUCCAUUAACACCACCGAACAGCACACUCCUUGCAUACAGAAGAUUUCAGGCUCCAAGUAAAGCAUCUUUGCCAGUUAAAGGGCUGGCAAAGACCUCUGUGUGAAAUGUUGGACAGCUCCUGCCAGUCAGAGAAAAGAAUACUAGGCUAGAUGGACCUGUGGUCUCAUCAUAAGGUGUGCUUCCUAUGUUCGUAAGUCAAAAGUGGGGAGCCUGUGGCCCUCCAGAUAUUGAUUCCAACUCCAAUCAGCCCCAACUGGCCUGACCAAUAUGGUCAGUUGUAGUCUAAUUCCUCCCCAGAUGCUGCUGAACUCCCAACUCCCAUCAACCCAAGCUAGCAUGGCCAAAGGACAAGGAUGAUGGGAGCUGUAGUCCAGCAACACCUGGGGGUGGCGCAGGUUCAUUAAAGGGGCCUCCAUGCUGAAAGUGCUGCUGUUGGUGAGCACAAAGCAAAUAAGGGAAUGCAGAAUCUCUUCCCUGAGUGAUCUCCUUUGAGAAGAAUGGUGCUCUUGUGCAUUAAGGCAGCUGUGACUAAUGCAGAGGUUUGCCCUCAUGAAUAAUGCCUACAGGAAUACCUAGGAGCCCCAUCUGUCUUGACCCACCUGAACACAGCAGAAGAAAAGCUCCGCAGAAGAAGGGGGAGGCAGAAACACUGGGUGCCUAAGCUUGGCAGGAAGCUCCCUUAGCCUUGUGUUUACUUGCAAGUUCCCCAGGGGCAGCACUAUGGGCUGGGGGAGACAAUGGGAGCUGAUUGCUGCAAGGACUAAGGCAGCAGAACCAGAGAGGAUAAUAGCAGCUUUUUGGUCUGGAGGGCUCAGCCCUGCUUGGAAUAGAAUUAAGUAAUCGCUAUGAUUAGUGCCAUGGAGAGGAAUGGAAGACUGGUCGCCUGCUGAGAAUCCCGGCAGGCUUCUGGACAGAGCUGGAACUGUAGCAUCCCAGGGCAUCUCUCUACAUUGCCACCCGGUCUGUCUCCAGCUUGCCAUCCCCCUGCUGCCUUUCCUGUGCCAUAACAAUGUCAUCGGUAUAGAUCAGGGGUUUUUUUAAGACUAGAGGAAAUCAUAGAGGGGACGUUUAUCAAUAACAAUUAGCUACAGUAAUAAAAUUGAACCUCCAGAGUCAGGGGCAGUGUACCUCUCAGCUUGUAAACUUCCCAAAGCAUCUAACUACUGUUGGGGACAGAAUGUACUGGACGAGAUUUAGCCUUUCGCGGGUGGCACUGUGGGUUAAACCACAGAGCCUAGGACUUGCCAAUCAGAAGGUCGGCGGUUCGAAUCCCCGCGACAGGGUGAGCUCCCGUUGCUCGGUCCCUGCUCCUGCCAACCUAGUAGUUUGAAAGCACGUCAAAGUGCAAGUAGAUAAAUAGGUACCGCUCUGGCGGGAAGGUAAAUGGUGUUUCUGUGCGCUGCUUUGGUUUGCCAGAAGCAGCUUAGCCAUGCUGGCCACAUGACCCGGAAGCUGUACGCCGGCUCCCUCGGCCAAUAAAGCGAGAUGAGCGCCGCAACCCGAGAGUCGGUCACAACUGGACCUAAUGGUCAGGAGUCCCUUUACCUUUACCUUUACCAUAGUAGGGCUCUUCUCAUAUUAUUGUUGCUACAUCCCCACUGAUUGCAGCAAUCCUUGAGAAACCAGCUAAUUGAGGAAGUUCAUCCAUUAGCCAUUACCAGCAGCCCUGCUCACCCUCAAUUCUCCUUUUCCCCUGGGCUCAUUCUAAGAACUGACAGUCAAUAGCCAAGAGCCUUGUCUAAUCAAAUAUGUCUGCAGUAAUUUACUGCAAAGUGCAUCCCAUGCAAGUUUAUCAUUAUUCAUAAUUUUUAUGUGUGCUUAUGUAUGAUACUAGAUGCCUAGCAUCUACACAACCAGCCACUCCUGGCAUUUAGCCUCCAAAUUUUUCAAUUUCCUUUGCCUAAAAUGUGCCAGUCUCAUAGGUAUCAUCAGUGCGAUUCUAGUGCACUGUUAAAAUCUGAGGUCCUUCAAAUGUUGCUGAACUACAAGUCCCAUCAUCUCCAAUCACUUGCCACGCUGGCUAUGAAUAACGGGAGGUGGAGUCUAAUGACAUCAAGAGAACAGGUUCCCCAACACAGCUCUGAAUCUCUCUGAAUUGUCCAAUCUGUGCCUAGCAACCUGGUUUGUCAAGACUAAUAUUGAUCCAUGGCAGUUUUAGAGUCACUAGUAGAGCUUAACUUGUGUGAAACUCUACACUCCAUGCAAAUCAACUAAUUAAGUAUUUUAGUGCCCCCAUGAACAGGUUGUCUGGUGGAUUCCCCCAUUCCCUGCAGAGAUCUGUCUUCCUUUCAGAAAAAUGGCAGGGUACCAGACUGUGCCAGUGGAGUUUCCUGCAGGCUACAGCAUUAGCAUCUACAUAAUUCAUGGACUGCAGCCGUUUGAUCUCAGCUUUGAAGAGGCUCCAAACAAAUCUUACUAAUGUAGCAGCUGACCUGCCAAGGAACAAUUGGUG
This 3139-nucleotide long non-coding RNA is filed under the name Podarcis lilfordi (Lilford's wall lizard). The record is from RNAcentral. Lineage: Eukaryota; Metazoa; Chordata; Lepidosauria; Squamata; Lacertidae.